Molecule: ribosomal RNA, 171 nt
Organism: Trypanosoma cruzi marinkellei
Lineage: Eukaryota; Euglenozoa; Kinetoplastea; Trypanosomatida; Trypanosomatidae
Rfam family: Eukaryotic small subunit ribosomal RNA
Source: Rfam
ACGUCCCUGCCAUUUGUACACACCGCCCGUCGUUGUUUCCGAUGAUGGUGCAAUACAGGUGAUCGGACAGUCGAGUGCUUCACUUGACCGAAAGUUCACCGAUAUUUCUUCAAUAGAGGAAGCAAAAGUCGUAACAAGGUAGCUGUAGGUGAACCUGCAGCUGGAUCAUUU